GGAAAAAAUAACUUGCAUGGAUCGAAGCCAGUUCUUCCAAUGUGAGGAUGUACAUUAACAUUUUGUAUACAACUUAAUUUGUUUUCCUCUUGACCUUAGCUUUUGAAUACAAUAUAAUUCCCUUCCAAACCCCUCCAGACUUUAUCCAAAGUGGAGGCAACUGGACUACUAGACACCAGAGAAAGAGAGUCAGAACUUCAUGUGAGAUCAAGGGAUGGAGCAGGAGACAAGAAGCACACCUUAAACUCAAAUCGAGAAAAAUAUUUCCUAUAGAAGAAACUCAUAAACUCCAUAUUCUCUUGACAAUCCAUCUGGGCCACCCACCUGAUCAUGAUUGCCUACACAGUGGCAGAAUGAUGGCAUUUAGAAGAGACUCAAAUUCUUCUCCUCAGUCACUGUCCAUACGAAGGGUUCAGACAAAAUGUGUCAAAGACAGAAACGUGGUGAAGUCAUGCUGAACAACAUUUGAACUAUAACACUAGACCUCUGCAAAUGGAACGUUUCUUCAAGGAGAAUCAACAGUAGUGAAGAUCUGGACCAUCCCUGAUGCUCUCUCUGCAGCUUUGACCAAGAACAGAACUAAAGAGAGGAAAGGAAAAAAACAGGAAAAGUCCUCACCCAGCUUGGAACCGAUCUCCUUCAGAAUCCAGCCAAACUCAUAUCGGGAUUUUGAGGAGUGUUUGUUAUGGAAUUGUGUUGUCUGCUGAGGAAAUGUUGGGAUGCUUGCUGCCUUAGGAGUGUAUUUGUGUGGAUUCCAACGUAAGAGGGGAGUAAAGUUACCUACAGAAGUUUGUUGACUGGAGUGAGUCCACCACAGAUCAGCUGACUUUCGAAAUAUGAGGCAACUGUCAAUUGAUUUGCUUUCAGAAGAAUGU
RNAcentral lists this long non-coding RNA (875 nucleotides) under Equus caballus (horse). RNAcentral's name for it is "lncRNA (ENSECAG00000027951.3)". The record is from RNAcentral. Lineage: Eukaryota; Metazoa; Chordata; Mammalia; Perissodactyla; Equidae.